RNAcentral lists this ribosomal RNA (534 nucleotides) under uncultured Actinomycetales bacterium. RNAcentral describes it as "bacterial SSU rRNA". It matches the Rfam family "Bacterial small subunit ribosomal RNA", at positions 355 to 897 of the family's 1533-position model. Lineage: Bacteria; Bacillati; Actinomycetota; Actinomycetes; Actinomycetales. The record is from RNAcentral.
UGGGGAAUAUUGCGCAAUGGGCGGAAGCCUGACGCAGCGACGCCGCGUGGGGGAUGAAGGCCUUCGGGUUGUAAACCUCUUUCAGCAGGGACGAAGCUUUCGGGUGACUGUACCUGCAGAAGAAGCACCGGCUAACUACGUGCCAGCAGCCGCGGUAAUACGUAGGGUGCAAGCGUUGUCCGGAAUUAUUGGGCGUAAAGAGCUCGUAGGCGGUUUGUCACGUCGGAUGUGAAAACCCGGGGCUUAACCCCGGGCCUGCAUUCGAUACGGGCUGACUAGAGUUCGGUAGGGGAGACUGGAAUUCCUGGUGUAGCGGUGAAAUGCGCAGAUAUCAGGAGGAACACCGGUGGCGAAGGCGGGUCUCUGGGCCGAUACUGACGCUGAGGAGCGAAAGCGUGGGGAGCGAACAGGAUUAGAUACCCUGGUAGUCCACGCCGUAAACGUUGGGCGCUAGGUGUGGGUUCCCUUCCACGGGAUCCGUGCCGUAGCUAACGCAUUAAGCGCCCCGCCUGGGGAGUACGGCCGCAAGGCUAA